This is a non-coding RNA of Volvulina boldii, 187 nucleotides long. NCBI's taxonomy places the organism in Eukaryota, Viridiplantae, Chlorophyta, Chlorophyceae, Chlamydomonadales, Volvocaceae. The record is from Rfam.
GAUAACCAAAAAUUACAGCAGCAUUUGUUGUUGGAUUAGUAAUUACACGUACGUCUCCGCCGCCGGGAGCCCAAGUAUCAUAAAUACCGCCAAAGUACAUAGCUUUCCAAACAAGGAGCCACGCGCCUAGACCUAAAAUAAUUAGGUGAUAACCUAAAAUGUUAGUCAUUUUGUUUUUAUCUUUCCA